This 429-nucleotide ribosomal RNA is filed under the name Bacteroidota bacterium. RNAcentral's name for it is "Bacteroidetes bacterium partial 16S ribosomal RNA". It matches the Rfam family "Bacterial small subunit ribosomal RNA", at positions 355 to 776 of the family's 1533-position model. The record is from RNAcentral. Lineage: Bacteria; Pseudomonadati; Bacteroidota.
UAGGGAAUCUUCCGCAAUGGACGCAAGUCUGUCGGAGCAACGCCGCGUGAGUGAAGAAGGAUUUCGGUUCGUAAAACUCUGUUGUUAGAGAAGAACAGCGCAUAGAGUAACUGUUAUGCGUGUGACGGUAUCUAACCAGAAAGCCACGGCUAACUACGUGCCAGCAGCCGCGGUAAUACGUAGGUGGCAAGCGUUGUCCGGAUUUAUUGGGCGUAAAGCGAGCGCAGGCGGUCAAUUAAGUCUGAUGUGAAAGCCCCCGGCUCAACCGGGGAGGGUCAUUGGAAACUGGUUGACUUGAGUGCAGAAGAGGAGAGUGGAAUUCCAUGUGUAGCGGUGAAAUGCGUAGAUAUAUGGAGGAACACCAGUGGCGAAGGCGACUCUCUGGUCUGUAACUGACGCUGAGGCUCGAAAGCGUGGGUAGCAAACAGG